Phoenix dactylifera (date palm) is the source of this 1727-nucleotide long non-coding RNA. RefSeq lists it as uncharacterized. The record is from RefSeq and is a predicted model, not a curated record. Lineage: Eukaryota; Viridiplantae; Streptophyta; Magnoliopsida; Arecales; Arecaceae.
CCGCUCCAAGAAACGCCGCCUUCGAGCGCAGGGCGGCCGUGUUCGGGUUCUCUUCUUUCGUAUUCUUUAAUUCUUUCGAUCGUUUGCUCCUCUCAAUCUAUUCUUUCCUCCUCGUUAUGACUUCUCCCCCUUUCUAGUUUCUACCAGAACCCUCAAUACUGAAGGAUUCUUGGAUCGGAACUGCCGUUCUUUAUCCGCAGGAGAAUUACGACAUGUUUAUCGCCUUUGGGAGGCAGGAAGCGGAAAGAUCGCCUCCAUUCCAAAGGGAAGGAGGCCAAGGCAGCGACAACCUAUAUUGCUUCUCUUAUUUGGACCGUUUGGAAUCUACGUAUCUUUCAGCAUAAACACUGUACACCAGAGGACUUGCUAAGACUCGGCCUAUGCUUUAGCCAGGAUAUGUUUCAACAAGACCAGAUUGGUAUUCUACCACUGUUGGUUCUUCGUCGAAGGUCUGGGGUAGUCCUAAGCUGUUCGAUCAGCCUUGUUCAAUAUCUAAUUUUGUUUCUUGGACGCCGGCUCCUUUGGAGUGCUAAUGGUAAAUUUUGAUGGCAUGGUACGAGAGCAUAAAGCCGCAGCAGGGUUAUCUUCCGAAACGAUGACAUGCUACUCGCUGGAGGCAAAAUGCUGUCCCAUUCUGCUGUUCCGUAUGCAGAACUUGUAGGUGCCUGGCUUGACUUCACAAACUUAUGUGUUAUUUUAACGCCCCCAAGAAGUUUGGUUGCAAGGAGACUCAGCUGUUGCCGUUACAUGGCUUACUUCUUGUUCCGAAGGUCGGAUGAAGCAUUCCCCUUCGUUUCAAGAUAUUUCCAUGUGGAGACACUCCUUUACUUCCUUUAAUGUGUCCCAUAUUUUUCGGGAGGGAAAUCAAGCAGUGGACUGGGUUGGUUUGCUCUGAAGUUCUCUUGCUUUAUUAUGUUUAUAUCACUUUUCAGUUCUUUCAUCGCAGGAAAUCUAAUCUGCAUCACUUAUGCUUAUAUGUGUUGGGGUCCCGGUGAUGCGAGUGUUCAAGGUUUAUGUCAUAAUUGUCUCUUUGGGCGUUCUUCAUGUUACAAGGUAUGAAUUUGUCUGCUCAAGCACAUCCACAGAUUACUGUAUCCAUCAAGAUUCAGAUUUCAAGCUUAUCCAAACCCUACUGGGCUGUGGUGAUCAGUGCAUAUGCUGUUUUUCAAAGGGCAGGCAGCUGUUCUCAUUCACCACUUUCAGCUCUCAUUGCUGCUUGCUAAUAGUAGGGGACUGCUAUUUCUCUUAUAUUUGGCUGCACUUACCUUGGAUACACGGCUGAUUGCGUAAGGCCACAGGGUGCUGCUUUGACACUAGGCGAUGCUACUAAUCUACUUUUCUGGAGGGUAUUUAAAUCUUUUCUAUAGACACUAAUUGGAUAAAGCAACUCUCUCUCUCUCUCUCUCUCUCUCUCUCUCUAAAUGGACUUCAUCGGCCCAACGUGCCCCAAGCUUUGCCCCUUUCAAGCUGAGGGUCGGAGAAGGAUGAUGUGCAUGUGGGUCGGAAAUAAAACGGUCCAUUCUCUUGGUGUCUUUUUCCUUCUUCUAUUUAAUUAUAUCAUUUUCCUAAUUUCAACGUCUGAAUGGAAGAGGGCAACACUGGCUUGUGAUGUUAGACAUGCUCUUGAAUGCGACCGACUUGGAUAUAUUGUUCCAUCUAGAGUUGAUCAUGGCCUGAACCUGGACUUCGGGCUGGAUCUAUUUAAAAUUUGUCAUUUUCUCUGCGCA